GACGAACGCUGGCGGCGUGCUUAACACAUGCAAGUCGAGCGGUAAGGCCCUUUUGGGGGUACACGAGCGGCGAACGGGUGAGUAACACGUGGGUGACCUGCCUUCAGCUUCGGGAUAAGCUUGGGAAACUGGGUCUAAUACCGGAUAUGACUUGGCCUCGCAUGGGGUUGGGUGGAAAGUUUUUUCGGCUGGAGAUGGGCCCGCGGCCUAUCAGCUUGUUGGUGGGGUGAUGGCCUACCAAGGCGACGACGGGUAGCCGGCCUGAGAGGGCGACCGGCCACACUGGGACUGAGAUACGGCCCAGACUCCUACGGGAGGCAGCAGUGGGAAUCUUGCGCAAUGGGCGGAAGCCUGACGC
RNAcentral lists this ribosomal RNA (358 nucleotides) under uncultured bacterium. RNAcentral describes it as "bacterial SSU rRNA". It matches the Rfam family "Bacterial small subunit ribosomal RNA", at positions 28 to 389 of the family's 1533-position model. The record is from RNAcentral.